AUUGAACGCUGGCGGCAGGCCUAACACAUGCAAGUCGAGCGGAUGAAGGGAGCUUGCUCCUGGAUUCAGCGGCGGACGGGUGAGUAAUGCCUAGGAAUCUGCCUGGUAGUGGGGGAUAACGUCCGGAAACGGGCGCUAAUACCGCAUACGUCCUGAGGGAGAAAGUGGGGGAUCUUCGGACCUCACGCUAUCAGAUGAGCCUAGGUCGGAUUAGCUAGUUGGUGGGGUAAAGGCCUACCAAGGCGACGAUCCGUAACUGGUCUGAGAGGAUGAUCGGUCACAGGGGAACAGAAACAGGGCCCAGCCUCAUAGGGGGGGAGCCGGGGGGGAAUUUGGGACAAGGGGGGAAGGCCGGACCCACCAAUGCGGGGUGGGAAAAGAGGGUUUUGGAAUUUAAAACAAUUUUAAGUGGGGAGAAAGGGAAAAAAGUUAAUACCUUCCUUUUUGCACUUACCAAAAAAAAAAGACACGGGCAAACUUGGUC
Molecule: ribosomal RNA, 484 nt
Filed under: uncultured bacterium
Lineage: Bacteria
Description: partial 16S ribosomal RNA
Rfam family: Bacterial small subunit ribosomal RNA
Source: RNAcentral